Molecule: ribosomal RNA, 253 nt
Filed under: uncultured bacterium
Lineage: Bacteria
Description: partial 16S ribosomal RNA
Rfam family: Bacterial small subunit ribosomal RNA
Source: RNAcentral
UACGGAGGGUGCAAGCGUUAAUCGGAAUCACUGGGCGUAAAGCGCGCGUAGGCGGCCUUGUAAGUCGGAUGUGAAAUCCCAUGGCUCAACCAUGGAACUGCAUUCGAAACUGCUUGGCUUGAGUACAGGAGAGGGUGGCGGAAUUCCCGGUGUAGGAGUGAAAUCCGUAGAGAUCGGGAGGAACACCAGUGGCGAAGGCGGCCACCUGGACUGUAACUGACGCUGAGGCGCGAAAGCAUGGGGAGCAAACAGG